This 554-nucleotide ribosomal RNA is filed under the name Rhizophagus irregularis. RNAcentral describes it as "SSU rRNA". It matches the Rfam family "Eukaryotic small subunit ribosomal RNA", at positions 557 to 1112 of the family's 1831-position model. Lineage: Eukaryota; Fungi; Glomeromycota; Glomeromycetes; Glomerales; Glomeraceae. The record is from RNAcentral.
AAGUCUGGUGCCAGCAGCCGCGGUAAUUCCAGCUCCAAUAGCGUAUAUUAAAGUUGUUGCAGUUAAAAAGCUCGUAGUUGAAUUUCGGGGUUAGUAGGUUGGUCAUGCCUCUGGUAUGUACUGGUCUCACUGAUUCCUCCUUCCUUAUGAACCGUAAUGCUAUUAAUUUGGUGUUGCGGGGAAUUUGGACUGUUACUUUGAAAAAAUUAGAGUGUUUAAAGCAAGCUAACGCUUGAAUACAUUAGCAUGGAAUAAUGAAAUAGGACGUUCGAUCUUAUUUUGUUGGUUUCUAGGAUUGACGUAAUGAUUAAUAGGGAUAGUUGGGGGCAUUAGUAUUCAAUUGUCAGAGGUGAAAUUCUUGGAUUUAUUGAAGACUAACUACUGCGAAAGCAUUUGCCAAGGAUGUUUUCAUUAAUCAAGAACGAAAGUUAGGGGAUCGAAGACGAUCAGAUACCGUCGUAGUCUUAACCAUAAACUAUGCCGACUAGGGAUCGGAUGAUGUUAAUUUUUUAAUGACUCAUUCGGCGCCUUACGGGAAACCAAAGUGUUUGGGU